AUACGGAGGGGGUUAGCGUUGUUCGGAAUUACUGGGCGUAAAGCGCACGUAGGCGGACUGGAAAGUUGGGGGUGAAAUCCCGGGGCUCAACCCCGGAACUGCCUCCAAAACUUCCAAUCUAGAGAUCGAGAGAGGUAAGUGGAAUUCCUAGUGUAGAGGUGAAAUUCGUAGAUAUUAGGAGGAACACCAGUUGCGAAGGCGGCUUACUGGCUCGAUACUGACGCUGAGGUGCGAAAGCGUGGGGAGCAAACAGGAUUAGAAACCCUAGUAGUCC
Molecule: ribosomal RNA, 274 nt
Filed under: uncultured bacterium
Lineage: Bacteria
Description: partial 16S ribosomal RNA
Rfam family: Bacterial small subunit ribosomal RNA
Source: RNAcentral